AUGAAUCCCAUGGCCAAAUGCUGCCUACUGCUCCUCCCCAUCUUCUUCUUGGCGUUUCUCUUGCCCGAGGCGCACGCGACUUCGUGCCACCCCGACGACCUUCGUGCGCUGCAGGACUUUGUUAGGAACCUCAGCGGCGGGGGUGUCCUCCUCCAGGCCACGUGGUUCGGCGCCACAUGCUGCAGUUGGGAAGGUGUGAGCUGUGAUGCCGCCAGUGGCCGUGUCACGGCACUGCGCCUCCCCAGGCGCGGCCUUGUGGGGCCCAUCCCAGGAACCUCCCUUGCAGGCCUUGCGCGGCUUGAGGAGAUCGACCUUGGCUCCAACAACUUCCAAAACAUCUCAGGGGUACUCACAGUGUUGCGUGGGUGCCAGAACCUCACCACGCUGAUUCUCACCAAGAAUUUCGGUGGUGAGGAGCUACUAGGCGAUGGUAUUAUUGGCGGGUUCAAGAGCCUCGAGGUGCUGGCCCUUGGUGAUUGUGCUCUCAAGGGCAGGGUUCCGGAGUGGUUGUCUCAAUGCAAGAAAAUGGAGGUGCUUGAUUUGUCUGGCAACCAUUUAGUGGGCACCAUCCCAUCGUGGAUUGGUGAGCUUCACCACCUUUGCUACUUGGAUCUCUCAAACAAUUCAUUGGUUGGCGAUGCACCUAAGAGUUUGGCACUGCUAAAGGGGCUCGCCCCUGAUGGGCGUUCACCGGGCAUGGUUUUCACUAACAUUCCAUCGUAUGUGAAGCAUAACAGAAGCACACUCGGACGGCGACUUAACGAGCUCCCAAAUGUCAUCAUAGGGACAAACAACUUUGUAACAUCUGGGAGCAAGAAUGUUUUAUCCGGGAACGACAACACAGUCAUAUUUGGGGAUGAAAACACCAUAUCCGGGAAUGAAAACACCGUAUCUGGGAACAACCAUGUCGUAUCUGGGAGUAAGCAUGUCGUAUCUGGGAGCAGGCAUGGCAUAACUGGGAGAAACAGUUUCGUAUCCGGGAGCUACAAUAACGUAUCUGGGAGUAAAAAUGUAGUAUUUGGGAGCAACAAUUCUGUAUCUGGGAGGAACCAUAUUGUAUAUGGGGACAACAAGGUUAUAACAGGAGGUUGA
Molecule: ribosomal RNA, 1092 nt
Filed under: Triticum aestivum (bread wheat)
Lineage: Eukaryota; Viridiplantae; Streptophyta; Magnoliopsida; Poales; Poaceae
Description: partial small subunit ribosomal RNA
Source: RNAcentral